UUGGAGGGCAAGUCUGGUGCCAGCAGCCGCGGUAAUUCCAGCUCCAAUAGCGUAUAUUAAAGUUGUUGCAGUUAAAAAGCUCGUAGUUGAAUUUCGGGACCAAUUUGUUGGUCGUGCCUCGGUACGUACUGGUAUUAUUGGUUUCUCCCUUCUGAAGAACCUUGAUGUCAUUAAUUUGGUGUCUUGGGGAAUCAGGACUGUUACUUUGAAAAAAUUAGAGUGUUUAAAGCAGGCAUACGCUUGAAUACAUUAGCAUGGAAUAAUGAAAUAGGACGUUUGAUUCUAUUUUGUUGGUUUCUAGGAUCGACGUAAUGAUUAAUAGGGAUAGUUGGGGGCAUUAGUAUUCAAUUGUCAGAGGUGAAAUUCUUGGAUUUAUUGAAGACUAACUACUGCGAAAGCAUUUGCCAAGGAUGUUCUCAUUAAUCAAGAACGAAAGUUAGGGGAUCGAAGACGAUCAGAUACCGUCGUAGUCUUAACCAUAGACUAUGCCGACUAGGGAUCGGAUGAUGUUAAUUUUUUAAUGACUCAUUCGGCGCCUUACGGGAAAC
RNAcentral lists this ribosomal RNA (548 nucleotides) under uncultured Glomus. RNAcentral describes it as "SSU rRNA". It matches the Rfam family "Eukaryotic small subunit ribosomal RNA", at positions 548 to 1098 of the family's 1831-position model. Lineage: Eukaryota; Fungi; Glomeromycota; Glomeromycetes; Glomerales; Glomeraceae. The record is from RNAcentral.